UAUAUACUACUGACAAGUAAUGUAUUAAUGUCGUUUAGUGCUAUUCAGAUAAUUUAUUUGUUACCGUUUCUUUUCAUACAGGUCGAAUGGAGUACAAGUACAGAUGAAAAUUACAAAAUUACAGACAGAAGAUGUCCUAUUAUUGUCGGAUGUGUCUUUGUUGCCGGAUGAUGUCACUUUACUGCCGGCAAAUAUUCCAUCCCUGCGUGAAGAUACAUUGCUACCAGAGGUUGCACCAUCAUUAACUCAAAGUAAUCCUGCUACGAAAUAAAAUUUAACCUCUCCUGAUGACAACAGCAAUGGCAACAUUCAUUUCUGUUCCGAGGAAUCAGAGAGCGACCUCCCCGAUCUUAUCAUCGAGAAGGAUAAUGAUUAUGUCCCUUGGGACAUUCCAGGAAAUAGAUGCUUAAACAUUGCGCAUUUUAUGAAACAAAUAGUUUUAAUAGAAAUACACAGAAAUAAGUGCACCAUGGGGAAAUUUGUUGUAAAAUCAGAAAGAUGUGGACUGUAUUCAACCUGGACAUUCGCAUGUGAUACAUGCAAUGAAACCAAAACUGUCACUUCACAUGACGAGAUUCAGGCUGAAGAAAUAAAUGAUGCCGUAGUGUGGGGUGCCUUGUCGAUUGGUAUAGGUCACAGUCAAGUGGAAGAAUUACUAUCAGUUAUGGAUAUUCCAUGCAUGUAGUGUGAAAAUUUUGUAAUGCAGAAAGAGAAAAUCGGGCAGGCGUGGGAAAAACAUGUGACUUCUAAAUUUAAAAAAAGCAGGAGACGAAGAAAAGAAAAUAGCAGAACAGAAAGAACAUUUUCUGAAUGGCAUUCCCUGCAUAGCAGUAGAAGGUGACGGUGUAUGGGGGAAAAGAACCUAUGGGCAUGGCUAUAAUUCAUCAACAGGUGUUGUGAGUAAAGUAAAAUUAAUGAAACUGUAAAUAACAAUUUUAUAUAGUUAAUCAAAUGUCCAGAUUGGUAGAAAAUCUCAAUGUUACCUAUAAAAACAGUAAAACAGUAAUCAAAUUGUAAGAAUUCAACAGGCAGACAACUAGUGAAACGUGGUUUAUGUACGUCAUUCGUGGUGGUUUCUGAUUCCAUGAAUAUCAUUGUGACCGGCUUAACUGUGACUAUCAUGUAAUUGAUUAUGAUCAUAAUUGCAGUUCUGAAAGUGUACACGAAAUUGUACCAAUGAAAUCCGAGAUAUGACUAUUUAGGCACAGUAGCAGCCGCUAUAGAUCUGGGAUAGAAAAUAUCGAAUGCGAUUGCUCCCAAGGAGUUUGGGAGUUGCGGGAAUCCCAAUUCUCUUAAUUAAGAUUUUGUUAUGGCUCCUAUGAACACAGACUUCUUAAUGACAAUGCAAUCAUGAUAACACACCUGGUAUGACAGUACAUAAUAAAAAUGGUUUAUAUUGCCAUGUACUGACAGGUAAGUGAACGAGGUAAAAGAAAUUAUAAAGCAUUGGGAUACUGAAAAAAGUGAGGGAAAAGUUUUCAGGCGCCGUACAGGAUGAGACGUUAUUUAUAUGCUAACUAUGCAGAGAGAAAUCUUAAAGUCAAAAGAAUAGGGAAACAUUAACACAUGGGCCUAUCGUGACUUAUGAGGGAGUUAUGCACCGUAAGAGGAGGAGAUGGAAAACGUGUGAUUGAAUGAUAAAUUUCUCCCUUGGCCUGUUAACUUCGUUGAAAGUACCUAUUAAUUUUUUGAUUAUGAGCGCCAAUAAUACCAUUGGGAUGCAUACCAAACCGGUGUAAGAAUUCGCUUGUAAGUUCUCUGAAAUGUUGCACCAGUCUUUCAUGUGUGACGACGAACCUAAAUCAGUAUCUUGUUAGUGUUCCGAGCAUGUAAAUUGUCGCUACAAUUGGCGCCAAAUUUAAACCUUGUUCCCUAUAUGCGCCUGCCAGUGGCGGUAUAAUACUACACUAGAAAGGACUGAUACGAGAGUCCCGUAGGUUACGUCAAAAUUGCUUAGUUACAGACAACCAAAUUGGGAGUAGCAAAAUUCAGCCAACUAAAUUAUUUUGGCCGGCGCACAGUGGCUGUAUUGACUCUACACGAUGCCAAAAUUUCUCCCUGGAUUACCCGAUCACAACACUUAUUUGAUAUUCAAUAACAUUAAGUUUGGCGUAAGGAAAUACAGAUUUUUAUAAAAAUUAAGAGAAAAUUACAAUAGGCCAGAAUGUAUAAAAGAGAAGUUGGGCGCGGCGGUGAAUUUAAUUCGGCUAUUUUCCACCAUCUUUUUAAGGGCUCGGUUCAAGGUCACGGUUGUGAUUCUGUCCCGCUGGAGAGCGCUAGUAGUCGCGAUCAGUUGAACACUCGUUAUCACAGACAUAUAUUCUUCCCGGGCGCCGCUGUCAUCCGGGUAGAAGCGGGGGGGACACGAUAAUUACAACGCGGUGUUGCCAAGCGUUAUCUGACACGUGACGCUCGCACCAAGGGCUAUGGGCUACCGAAGACAGGCGGUUCCGCGGUCGCUCUGCUAGCUAUCCGAGGGCAGCUAGGCAGUGCCUUCUGCUUCUGCGUGUGCUAUUUGCUUGCUGGUUUAACCAUGGAUAUAUUGAAUAACAGUCCGUGGACCAUUUGGCCGGCUGGUGGGAAAGGCAGUCUGGUACGAUUAAGGAAAAGUUAAAUAGAAUAUUACCUACAAAAUUAUAUUAAAAUUAAAAAAAAACAACACAGAACUAAGGGCAAAAUCCUAAUAUAGUGAUUCAAGAAUUAAAACAGAAUUAUAUUUCUGUGUAUUCUCAGUUUAAAGUUAUUUCCAUAAAGGACAUAUAUAUUUAUUUCAAUGGUUUCGAUUUUGGCAAACAACAUUUUAAUAAGUUAACGUAACUUUUUUUAGUUUCCUGAUAUCAUCAUCCAAUCGGUUUUAAGUUCAAUAAAUAUUUGAUACAUUCAGCAAAAUACGUACCGUUUGUUUGUUUCAAAUGUUACUAUAUUUAUAUAAAUUUUAAAUUGUACCGUAUUAAACUAACACUGGAUUGAAAAGAAUAUGCUGUGUGACAAACAGAAAUUAUUCAGUGCAAUAUAUACUAAUGCAGGCUAAUACUUUUUUACCAAUAAUUUUUUUUUUUAUAUAUUUGAGGCCUAUUGACUCGCGUUUUGAUUAGGCUGGGACAAUAUGUUACAAAACGCAAGCAGAAUUAAUAAUAAAUAAACGACAUUUUAGCAUUUUUUCUACAGUUUAUUUUCAUCUCGUGGUUCCGGGUUAUAAAUGUCCAGAACAUUUAAUGCAAUACUUCACUUGACCCAAUAUUUUUCACCCAAUAUACAUGUAGCCCGCGAUUGCCUUGUGAUCCUUACAAUCUGGAGCCUCGCUUAUAACUUAUAUUGGACACAAAAAUAUUUCCUUCAUUGCUGCGAUGAACCUCCCCGUUUUUCACAGUCAUUCGAAAGGAAACUUGACAUUUGACUACUGUUAACGUAAACACUGCUUUAUAUUAACAUAAUUCCAUGUAAACAAUUUAGUAUUUAUAGAAAUAAUUUAGGCAUUAAAUAAAUAACGCCCAAACGCACCUCCUGUACUUUGAACCUCCGGAAAAUCACGAAUUCUACUCAUUGAAAACAGAGUCUUUACCACUCGCAUCGGAACUACACAUGUAGGUUUUAUUUAAUUCCAAUAAAUUAUUGAUAUAAACUUAACCACGCAAUGUUAUGAUUUAUUUUCAUUACCUACUUUAAUUUUCUUACUAAAUGAAUAUGACUGAAUUAAGCACAAAUAAUCAAAAACCGAAAUGUCACGUUCAUCCGACCUUUUCUUAUCCAACAUUUCGUAUUAUCCGACAUCUCAAAAAUAAAAACUAUUCUAUCGGAAACAUAAACGACAAUUUGUGUCAUAAUAAUUUUUGUUGAUCCCGACUCUAGGUAAUGCAACUUAUUAUUCAGCCAGAUAUUUUUGUUAUUUUUUGGUUGUAAAAAUGUUUAUUAGGUUUGAAAUGUUUAAAACAUUAGCAAAUUUUUACUUUUAUAAUGUUUUUAUUAGCAAUUCCCUAUUAAUCCGACAUUUUAACUAUCCGACUUUCUGCUGACCCGUUUAUGUCGGAUAAGCGAGACACUACUGUACGACAACACCGGGACGGCCUCCACUGGGUGACUGAGGGGUCCCAGUGUGAUGUGGGCGCCAGCAGUGCUGCUCCAGGGGCUGAGGUGAGCUGAGCGAGCAGGGGGCCGAGGUGGUGGACAUGCCUCAGCCUCUGUGCAUAGCCGGAGCUCUAGCGGCUUUUCCGAUUGCGUAUCCACGCCCGUGGGGGCCCGGGGCGGCAGGGCCUUAUGGCUAAGAGCGCCGGGUCAACAAAGAAAAGGGGGGAAACCCCUGAAAGGUCUAUGUACGACUGUAUAAUGAUUUUGUUAUAGGUAUUCUAUGAAACUCAAGCAAUAUUUAGUUUCCCAGGUAAACUUGUAGAGUUACAAUGUAGAUCGUAAAAAAGAAAAAAAUAUUUCUCCAUGGUGCGAUUUUGGUUUGUGAUUAUUUGAAGUAUCACAAUUGAUUUGUCUACUAUUUAUAUCAAAUAUGAUGUAUUAAUUACACUUAGCUUUAUGCUAAGUAAAAAAUUGGCAUUCCAAACAUAUAAACUCUCGUCAGUGUUGUAAUGUUACACAAAUUUAGGUAAGUAAAUAUAAAGAUUUACCGUGAUAAAUAUUUAAAUUUUUCAAACAUCAUACAUUUCACUCAUUACAAAACCUAAAUUCAAUCACAGAAUUUUAUUUAGUCUGAUAUUACAAUAAAUCCAGUUACAGCUUCCUUAAAAAAAGCAGAACGAAAAAUUGGUUGUCUGUAAAGUCGGUUUACGGACGAUAGUUUAACGUGACAACGUCAUAACAAAACAUUGAUGAAAUUAUUGAUCCAGAAGAAAAGUAAAUAUCAUAUUCGGCCUGAGACUGAGCCGUAAUAGGUUUUUGCAACCAAACCAUUUAGGCAUUAAAAAUAUUAUAUUCUUUGAGGAAGAUUUUUAUUUUUAUUUUUCUGUCUUUUGUAUAAUAAAAUCUACCUCUGCAUACAUUUAUGAAUAAAAUUGAAUCAUUUUUAUUGAAUUAUCACUAUUUUGUAUGGAUACAAAGGAGUGAAAUGAAAAGUAAAAUUUAAUUAAUAAAUUUACUUUAAUUUGCAUUCAUUAAUUCAAAUAUAUUUAUUACUUUUGAAAUGUUGCGUGCGCCGUAUUUAUUUUUACAAGUACAAAAAAAAUUCGCAGCUGCCGAGUUCGAACCGACUUCCUAUGGAUGGGAAGUUAGCCUUGCUGACCGCACGGUCACGAGGCCAUACUUCAUAACGAUAGUUUCAGUUGUUAUAUACAUAUUUAUAAAAAUUUUGUUCACGGUAGGGGAAUAAUAUAAUUUCGUUUUUAUAACACGAUUUUAUAACAAAUACGCAUUCCAAACACACCAAACUUAUUUAUAAUGUAUUACAAUAUUUUUUAAAACAUUGUGCAAAAGAUCCCGGGUGUAAUUUGAAUUAUUAUGUGUAACUGUAAAACACCAUUUUUGGUUCAAAACGUAUUUGAAUAUUCAACAUUACUUUUAAAUAACCGUACCGAUUGUGCUGAAAAUCGGUGGACGAUCGUUAAAUUACAUAAUAUUAAUAAUUCAAACUACGAAAAUAUGAUUGAAAAGUCAAAUCGAUGGUUGUUCCAAUCGAGUGGAAGAGAGAUGCCAUGCAUGCGUACAAUGAGCAUGAAGAAAGAGAUGCUACGCAUGCGUACAAUGAGCAAACAGGACACAUCCGUAGUGGGACACUUUUUCGUGCGUGCAGCCGGCGUUCAUCGAUUUAUUAGACGUUGUAACGUCAAAAUAGAAUAAUUGUGGUAAUAGUUUUAAGUUGUUUUCUAGGAAUUGUAAGAGGCCUGAAUCGGUCUGCACUUCAGAGUCAAGAUAAAUCUUCUACCUGUGUCGCUGUAGUUACUUCGGGAUCAGGAGGCUGGAAGUGGGGUCAGUAUAAGAAAUACUGGAAAAUUCGUGAACACAAUGCACAGUGAUACAAAUAAGGCCACAACUGUAAUUAAUUAAUUGCACAAGUACUGCAGUCUUCCUUACUUUACUCUCUAGUUUUGAGUCCAUUUCAAAAUCGUACUAUAUGGUAGCAACUCAAUUAAUAAACGUUACCCACUAAUUUUGUGAAGCUACGUAGUAAAUAAUCAAUAUCCAUGUUUUACUUGAGUAAGUCCCAUAAAGAAUGCAUUAUUAUUAGUUAAAAGUAAUAGGAAAUAAAUAUUCUAAAGACCAUGACGAAUUAAUUUUUUGAAUUGAAUGGUUCCUGCAGUGCACUGUCUUGUGUGCUUUUCUUGUAGGUUUAAUAAAUAUGGUAUUACAUAUGAGGGUCUGAAUAUCCUGUUUCCUUGUAAAUUUAUCCAUGAAGAACUCUCAAUUUGGCUGUUUUCAACAAUGAGGUUUGGUAAAUGCUCAUUAAAAUCUUCACAAACAGCCGAACUGUAAAAUAAAAAUAAGAAUAAAAUGUGCUUAACAAUAACAAAAUAAGAAAUUAGUACAAAUACAUAUUUUAACUUAAUGUUAAAUGCAUGACAAUUGUUAAGAAAGCAUGCUUAUUACACAGUUAUGAUUUGGCAUUUUAUUCGGAAAUAUUGUUUUCAGACAAAGACGUGUAAUGAUGCAAAAUGGUCAUAUGUUAAUGAAAUGUAUCGCUACAAAACCUCGAUAUUGUAUAAUCCUAUCAUCUUAUUAAACGUUUUUAGGGCUUAAAAAAACAAACUUUUUUAAAAAUGAUUAUUAGUUCUGAUUUUACUUAAAGAAUUUAUUAUUAAUGAAUGCUCAGGAUAACAUGCAAUAUUUUGUUCUUAUGUUGAGAAUGACAAUGGAGAAUAUUCUGUAUGAAAACUAAAAUUAUUCAUAAAAUGUUUGUUCACAUCGUAAUUAUCACUGGAGACAAGAAUGAUUCAUCUAAGUGCAUUUAAAGUAAAUCUUAAUUUCCGCAUCGUAAUAAUGUAAGAUGUAAACUAGUCCUAUUAUGUUAAAAUUUUCCGUAGCAGGUUUCCUUUAAAAAACUUACUGAGAUGUACAUCUAAAUAGCCUUAGUUAAAUAUUUAUAAUUGUUUAAUUAUUUCAUGUAUUAAAAAUAGCAAGACGAAUAGUGGAACGAUAAUAAUGCUGUGGCUAUCAGUCCUCGCGUAUCUUUAUAUUAUUACUUUUCUGUCGAGGUUUUCCCACUACUAUGCCGAAACACACAAGACCUUAAAAAUCACAGUGAAAACCUACAGCUAUAACGAACAUUUCUCUACUUCUUAAAAAUAAAAGUAACUAUUUUGUAGUGUUUUUUUUCCUGUGUAUAAAAAAAUAAUUAAGAAGUUGUGGUUCCCAGAUAAUAAUGAAAUAGCUUCACACGAAUUCUUAAUUCACACGUUUUUCCAGCUCUAUUUAAUUCUAUUUUAUCUUUUUAGCUAAUUUCCUCAACUCUUUCAGCUGUAAUAUGUAUUGCAGUUGUAUUUUGUAUGCGCUGGCUUGAAUAUAUGUUCUUUAUUGGGGUAAAUAGUUAUUUGCACUGAUCUGACCUGAAGAAUAAAAUUUAGAAUACAUGUAGAUUUUAAAUGCUCAGGCACAUUAUAAAAUGUUCAUAAACUAAUUCUAUCAGUUAAAUAGUUCGUUCAUAUUUAUCUUUUUCAAAUACAUGGUGAACAGCGUGCGUUGUGGAUGUAAUAAACAACAUUUAUUAUUUUAUUUAACAGUCUGAAAUCAAUGAUGGAAAUAUUCAGUUUACCUAUCUAUUUACAAUAUUAAAUGAGUUGUUCUAUUUAACUUGCUUUACAUGUCAUUUAAAUGUUCAGUAUUUUGAAUAUAUAUAUAUAUUCAUAAAUUAAGAGGUAAAAAAAAUCGCUGCUACAAUAACUGUCCAAGCAAUGUCACAACGACUCAUCCAUCUAGUUGCUCACUCAAUGGUCCUCAGAAAAGCACUGUUCACCGUAGCUAAAAUUGCUAACAGCUCGGCUGUAAGCAGACUAUUACCAAGAUAACGACUGGACAUUGAGUCAGAAGUUCUUUGAUGUGGUAAUGCACAACUUCGCGAAAAUUCGCCCGCUAAGAAGUUUGGCGCAAAUUAUACUGAAGAUUAUAGGAGAAAAUAAACGUAAUUGCAGUUACUAAGUGACCACUUUACUACAUAAACCUAAAUGUAAUUGAUAUAUAUAUAUAUAUGUUCCAGCCUCAUGAACCAUCUAAAUUAACUUACAAUUAACUUUGUUUAACAUAGGCAUAAUCAAUGGCUACCAUAUCAAAAUUAUUUUCAAGGGCCUGUCGAAUUACUACAAUUUCGUAAAUAUAGUUUGUAAAGAAAAAAUAUUUUUUCCUGUUGUUCGAAUCAAAUACAACCAUGUUAUAAAAAGAGCAACAUAAUAACAUUGUGCGUAUUAUAAUUGUAGUCAUUGGCAUGAUGAUAGUAUUACAUUCUCUUGUAAGUAAGAAAUUGUUUAACUGAUAACAAUGUAUUAAUAUCCUACUUAGUAAUAUUCAUUUUAAAACAUCCAAUAUUUCAACUCCAUUAAUUUCAGCACCGACUAGUUUUAAAAACUUUGAUACCUUAUUUUAUUUUACAAGUUCCCGUGUGCCGGCGGGUUUGUUAGGGCUCGGCGUAUCAACUACCUAAUCUUAGGAACACUAAUGCCUAAAUUUAUGGGCCAAUAAAUGCAAGACAAUGGCCGCGAAAGCCGGCGGAAUCUUUAUUACUAAUGCCUAAAAUUUAUUUCAAAAUCUCUGAUCCAGAUUUAGACGUCCAUAGGUUUUUUGAUAGUUUAAAUAGUUUCAUCGCAUUUUUAUGCAGUAAUUGAGCUUAGAUAGUUUCUUGUGAAAUUGUUGCUUUUCAACGCUCGCUCUUUACGUCUGCCAGUCCGGGGCGGAUGGACAAAGAAAUUAUAUAAAAAAAUUAUAAAGUUUUACAAAUAUUCAUGACACACCCGGAAUUCUGAUCCAAAUUCCUUCCAAAGGUACAUAGCGACUUCAGCUACUGUCACCUGAAAAAAUACUGUUGAAUAUCGCAUAGAGUGGUCAUUUCAUGUUGCACAUUUAAACGGUAUUGCUUGCAAUCUUUUAAAAAGGCUUGCUGAAUUUAUAGGCAGGCAAAAUAAUAAAACUUUAAAAUGUGUAUUGUAUUUCUUGUAAGGCAGCAUGUACCAUACACAACCUAUAAAGCCAAUAAAAACAUUUUACAAAUGAAUAAUAUAUUGAUUUCCCGCUGGAAAUCUUUAGCCCUAAGCCGGUUGUACACUACAGAAUUAUAUACUGUACUGAUGUGUUGCUUUAAAAAGCAUACUCUAGCCGUGAAACCCAUAAAAAUCAUAUGGACGAGUGGCCGCUAUGCGCGUUAGAAGUGAUGUAUCAAUAUAUGUAAGUGAUAGGGGAAUAAUAAUGUCUACGAAUGUGUGGAUUGUCUGCAAGUAUGCAAGUGAGCAAGUAGACAAAUGCGCAAGUAUUCAACUAAGCGAGUGUGCUAUAAUGCAAAAAUUUCAUUGAGCACCUCACUCCUGAGCCCCGUUCCCCUAUCCUCCUUCGAAUACGACACUGUUGAUAGUUAGUUACCCUGUAAGCGUUACGCUUUUGUUAUGCUGAUUACAACAUCGCCUCAUCUUACUUUACCAGCUGUAAAAAGGUUACAAAUAAAUUUUCUUAAAAUAAUUGUUGCAUCAUAUAAAUAUAUACCAUUUACUUUGACGUUUAGAUGCUAGAAGAAGCUUCAUUCGAUUUUUCAUGGACUUUCUACGUUGAGAUAAAGGUCGCGAGAUCUUGGAACACUUACGCCAAUUUCUUCCCAUGGCUGGAGAAUUGAACCGAGGAACAAAAUCACUUGAAGUGUGGGUUUACUGUCGCGUGGCAGCUGAUGAUAAGGGGAGGGUGAGGGGGAGAUACGCGAAGUGGCAACCAGGCCGUUCCUUCUCUCAUUCCACGCGGCCCUUAUCUCUUGUCCGCCGCCGGCGGGGCACGUCAUAUUACCAGCGUGCAUUGCAGCCUAUACAUCAGGCACUUCCACAAUAUUAAUUUUAAAAAAUUAGUGUUGCUUGUAUAUUUAACCAGAUACAUUGCCAAAGCCAAGGACUUUUCGUGAGAUUGAGAUAUGACCAACGUUGUUACGAGAUGAUUAAGGGGGUAGAACAUAUUGACUGAUAAUUGUGACAAAAUUAAAACUUAAUUUUACAAUAUCAAACUUAAAAACUUAAAUUAAAUUAAAAUUGUUUUCGUAGAAACCUGUAUGCUUAUAAUAUCUACAAUUUGGUGUUUGUUUUAGUUUUCUAUUACAAUAACUGACGGAAUCGCGUGCAUUUAAGUUUAACCUGUAAAUCCCUAUCCCGCCAUUCGGCUAGCAUGGGAGUGAACCGAGCCCUUAAGGACUCCAGAAGAAAAUUUUACAGUCAAAAGUAAUUCUCAUAAACAAAUACAGAAUCUUUACUAAAACCUUGGAGCUUAGAUUGCAAAGGUGUCAGAGCCGUGCACUACGUAGGUCAUGCCACUCCAGAAAUGACCCCAGUGUAUGUAGACACGUUCACGGGAUGCAGAGCUGUUUACAAACCUAUACUAAUCAAUCCACUGUAGUUCUUAUUGUCGGUUAGAGUCUGGUGCCAUCCGAGUUUACUUACACCAAUUGGCUUUGUAGACCAAAGCCGUCAUUUGACGCGAAUACAAAAAAAAAUGUUUCAUCCCUUGAUUAUUUGAUGUCUCGCCUACGUCAUGAGAUGAGAAGCUCCGUUAGCCUCGGUAAUACUCAAAUUGUAAGACUAGUUUUACAUUGAAUUUAAAAGGAAAAAUAAUGCUUUUUAAUUUUUAUUAUUAUUAACAAAUAAGUAACUUUUAUAAAAAUGUUUCAUUAGAUUUGAUUUUUUUAAAAAUAUUAACGCCAAAGACAUCACAAUUUACCUAGAAUGACAUAUUAUCAAGUGAAAUACAUUGAUAUUGUUGAUAGUUUCUGCCAUGACCUGCUUCUUAAAACAAUAACCUUCUUUUAAAAACAUGUGGUUUUUAGUUAUCCAAAGAAAACACAAAUCAUCUCACAUUGUAAUAGUUCUUUGAAUGUAAUUUUUUUAUAACACUAAUUAGACCAUUUCAGUACAUUUGUAUUACUUUGCAGGCUAUUCUUAUCGGACUGGAAACGCAGAAGAUACUUUACCUGGGCAUCAGAAAUAAAUACUGUAGUAUAUGUUCGAUGGCCAAAUCAAGGCAGAAAACUAUCCCAGAUCAUGUAUGCUAUAAAAACCAUACCGGUCCUUCCACAGCCAUGGAGAAAGAUUUGAUAUGCGAAGGGUUUAUUCUGGGGGACUUUCAUUGUGCAAUUACAAGGAAACAAUUGCUAGCGCAGACAUUACUUAUCGCUGUCUAAUGUGCAAUAUAAUAAUUAGGUACGAAGUUUUAGUGAGGUCUUCUUUACCUCAUACAUACUGUGCGUGUAUCAAUCCUCUUACUUGGAAGAAUUUGUUUCAUUUUAAAUGUUAAAAGUUAAUGUAAUCACUUUAAAUAAAAUUCUUCAACUUGCUUUCUAACGUUAUAAGACUAUAUCAUACGGGCAAUGCUCUAAACAAAGUGUGCUCUUAAAUAUCCAACAGUACAAAAUUUUACCCACUAUUAAUUUCUUCAUAAGAGCAGUCAUUUGUAGAAGAUAAAAAAAGGCUACAUUAAGUGUGUUAGCAUAUUUUAGAAUGUUUAAAUCAAAUUGCAAUAUAUUAUCUUGCAAACGGUUGCCAAUUACAAGGAAACAAUCGCUAUCGCUGUCUGUGCAAUUUAAUAAUUAUGUAUGAAGUUUUAGUGAGGUCUUCUUUACCUCAUACAUUUGCCAUAUAAUUCACACACAUAUCAUUCCAAAUCGUUUGAUUUUCUUUUCAUACGUUAACGGAAUAUCUCUUAGACCAACAGAAAUUAUAAGUAUGGAGAUAAUUCUCACAUAUUGCGCAUCCACAAGUGAAAUAUAUAUAAUUUUAUAUCUAUUGAUGUUAAAACAAACAAAGAGAUAACAUCAGUUUUAAUAAUUUGGAUCAUGUUUAGCAGCAAGCUACAACAUAUACAAAUAUUUUCAGACAUAAUUUUUAGAUAAUAUUUAGGUUUAAAAAUCUUUUAAAUUGUUUUGUUAUAGUAAUGAAUAUUUUUGAUUUUCAAACCAUAUUUGUUCCAACCUCUUGCGCUGACAGUGGUUGUUAUAAAAAAAAAACCUUGCAGACAAAAGUACUACUCUUAGGAUGUACAAUAAAUUCUAACCCCUUGGUACGAUUCUCCUAUUAACGAAUUUGAUCGAGAUUUUUCUUCACUAGAUUCUAUGUAUCAGACUGGAAGUAAUUAAUACAAUAUUACGCAGUAUUAUGCCCAUUAUAAAGUUACAUACGAAAAAAAAUAAAAUUUAUGUUUACACUUUUGAGUUGACAAAGCUUAAGAGAUGUCAGGGUCAUAAAAAAAAUAACGUAACAAUUUUCCGGAAUUCCCAACAUGGUAACCACUACAAAAUGUAAAACUUUAUCAGUAAUAUAAUUAAUAAAGAUAUUCAUUGCUUCAAAAAUCUGGCGAAGAGACAAAAAUUUAGCCAAAUAAUGUUUUCAAGUUAUUUUUAUACAUGUAGAUGAAGCGUCAGAGAAUCUACAGAUAAUUCGCUGUGAAAGUAAGGCAUUAUCUGCGAGCCUUGCAACUGGCAAAUAUAAAUCUGCGGUCCUUGCUGACGUCACGCGCCGAACCCGACAGCGGACAACCUGCACCCGGCGAGGAGUGAGAUCUGAGCUGUCUGCCACUUCCUCCCCCCACCCCAUACAACGCGCCCGGCUAGGAAUGAGAUCUGAGCUGUCUGCCACUUCCUCCCCCAGCCCCCUGGGAUGGCCCACAAGCCGGCGCGACUACCUGCUGCAAACAGUUAGCCAUUCCUCCGCUAGGAGAGCUAGGGGCGAUUUUCUUUCGCGCGUCGCCCUACCCGCUGUACGGAGCCGAGCGACAUAACCUUCCCCUUUGAAGCCUUCAUCUCGACUGAAUACCCAGCGGCGCGACCCUGAGUCUUAUACAGCGCUCUUAAGGGGUUCAGUGAUCAGUUUUUAUGCUAUUGUGAGUGAUGUAUCAGUUUAAAGUCAUUCCGAAGUGGGGACGAUUUUUCGACCACUUGAACAGCCUUAAGGUGGGACAUCCGGGCACACUUUAGCAAGCUGUCGCAGUGUCUGAGGAACGUGUUGCGAGGGGAAGUGGAAAACCCGAACUCUUAGCUACCCCCACUACUAGCCGCCGGGGGUGGUGGAUGGAGUCGCUGAUUGCCACCCCAAACCGGUUAUUCUUUAGGUGUUAGGGGGAGGGGGAAGGGGGGUUGCGAAGGAGGCCGUGUGGUAUUUGGCGUGGACUCGCUCUUCCUCUGUCCCCUAACCUGGAGGAGACGCGGAGUCAUCCCUUGUUCAUAGGCCAGUGACCUUGAAAGCGCUACGUCAAUAACUUGACCGUGAAGCGUUUACUUGCAAACUACUGGUCAACUGUCAGUGAGCAUUUAUCGUACACAAAAUAUGUACCAGUUUUGAAAUAAAUGUUUAAUUAACAUCGAUAAAAAAAUUAUUUAUUUAAUUAAUUAUCUUGAAAACAUGCUUUGCAGCUCAUAUUCGUGCGGACAAAAGUUAUUUGUUUAGGGUGAUAAGUAAAUAGUAUGAUUUUGAAUGCAACGCGCAAAAUAUUAGGUAAGUUAAUAACCGAAUCUCUGCCUUAAUCGACUGUCGAGACCUCACUAUUGAGGAGCCGUAAAACUCUCUCAUCCUAACCAUUUAGUUGCUCCGAUAUCAUCGCUAGGUAUUUCAUAUACAUAAAAUAAAAUUGAUAAAAUGAAAGUGUAAACUGAAGUUAAUGUUUAACUUGUAGGAAAUAAUCGUGUGAAUACCUGAAACAAUAAUUACUUAAUCAUUUGUAUCAGCAACAAAACCAGUUGUUUUUACGUGCAUUCAUUUUUAUCUGCAGCUUUCUGUGGUAGGCAGAGUAGUAAACUGGCAUUUUUGUACUGUAUCGUAAGAGUACUUGUCGGCCACGUCUGUUGUACUAUAAGCGGUAGGUUGUAGUCAGGCUUUGAUCUGUACUCGCCCUGAAACUGAAUACAAAUUUAAAGACGAGUUUGACCAUUAGAUACAAUUAAAUGUAAUUAACCGAACUACCUAUUUUCAUAUUUAUUUUCCUAAUAAACUCACAUAGAUAUCCUAUCAAUUUGGUUGGAAAUGUAUAGGCUAUUGUGUGUACCUUGACAGGAAUCUACUUCUCAAAAGUUAGUUAAGUUCUGGUGCGGUAAGAAUAUUUUAGUGUUCGACAUUGUAUUUCAUGACAAAACAUAUCAAAUUAAUUCGUUUCAGUAGGUAGCAAAACAUUUGAUGUAAACAUGGAAUACGAAGAAUCACCAACUGCAAACCAUUCGAUAAAUAAGUUAGUAAUAAUGUUCACUCAUAUUGUAAACAUGAUUGCAAAUGCAGUGUAUCUCAAGCAUAGGAUCGUAGAUAUGAUGCUUGGCAAGUUCUUCAGAGGUUUAGCGAGCUGUUUGAGAUAGGUAAAAUACUGUUUCAUUCAUAAUACGAAACAGUACUUUACAUAACAAUAACAGGGUAAUUAUACGCUGUUAAUUGUUAUGAUUAGUGCUCGUUUCAGCUAAUUAUAAUAUUUAAUCAUGGGAAUUGUUUGCAGUCUGGCAAACCUUUACACCUCUAUAAAACAUUUUUCAUACAAACAAAUAAAAGUAACAAAAAACUAUAUCAAUGUAGCAACUAAAUAUUUUAUUUGGUAUUGUACAUAUUAAAACUCACCUGCCUGCAAUUUUGUUGACAGAAACGAAAUCAUUGUUAACAUUAAUUCUCACAGCAUAUCUCAGUUCCUACUCUGUAUUUUAAGAUUCGUUGGUGUCGUGUCAAAACCGAAAAUAAUUUAACUUAUACUUUUAAUGACAAUGAACCUAAAAAAAUUCGACUGAAACGCUUCAUUGUGUUCAUUUCUCAAAGAAAGUAAAGGAACACUGUAAUAAACUCAAUACAAAUACAUUCAAGGCGAAGAUAUUACACUUGUACAGUUUUCGAGAAAACUUUAAAACGCAAACAGUAGCCUAUAUUGUAAAUUUCAUUUUACUGUUUUCUUUCAAAUCGGAUUUUCCAUAGUAGCAAAUUUUUAAAUGUCGAUAACUUAUGUCAAUGUAGGGUUAGGCCUAAAUGAUGUAGGUUUGGCCUAAUUAAUAUAGGCUAAUUUGUAAAUUAACAAAUUUUGAAUUCGUCAAACAUUUUUCAUUCAAUAAUCAGUUAAAAUCAUGGUUUAAUAUCAUGAAAGAAUAGGACAAUUUAGUAAAACUAAUUGAGAACAACAUGACCAAAAAUAAAUUUUCAAUACCGUCUGCUAUGAAAUACCCCAAAAAAUUUUGAUAUUUGAAGAUCAUUGCCUUAAAAAAAUCUUGCAACUCGUAGUUACAAAAUUCUGUAAUUUUAAAUAAUUAAUGAUUUUUCGUUUAUACUAUUUUUUUUUUAGUAUAACACAUCCUUUCCGAAACAUUAGAAAAAUAAUCUACAUAAACCGUAAUUUGUUGGAGCAUAAAUUAAAUUUGUAUUUAGUCAUCGUUUCAAUACAUAUUUACAAAAAAUAAUACAAACUCUGGCAAACACUGGAGUACUGUAUAAAGUAAUUCAGUUUGCACAGUGUACCUAUAUAAACAUAUAACAGUAAGAAAGUAUGCACACCUAAAAAUAAAACUUUUAAAUUAUUACCUUUAUUUAUGAAAACCUGUCACUAUGAAAUAUAUCUCACCAUAAUCAAAAAUAUAGUUUUUUGUUGUGUUUUGUUUUACUGAACUCACUGCUGAUCCUGUGAUGAUCUUGAAAUUGCUGGGCACUGCUUCCCCGCAUUCAGUAUGUAAUCAGGAUUUCUUAUUGGCAUAGAACGUGUGUAACUAGGGUCAAUUAUCUCUGGUAAUAGACAAUCCAUGUAAAAAUUAGCAAGUUUAUCCUUCAUUUCUUUCUGCCAGUAAUUGUCGUCCCUUUAUCCUUUAUCCUUUGAUAAUACAUACCCUUCCUAGUCCAGACAAUGUAUGUGCAAUAAUUUAUUUUUGUAAUGUGUAGUUGUCCCUGUACUUGAAAAAAAAUGAUCAUGGUUUUUGUUGAGUACAAUUUUUCCAUCUUGGCACUUAAAUGAUUUCAUCUUUCCCUGAGCUAUCGCAUCUUUUAAAUGUAAGUCUGCUGAAGAAAAUGCGCAUUUAACUUCCACUAUACCAUCAUCAUCUAUGAUACCAUCUGGAGUGGCUCCCAAAAAUUCCAGUUGCUCGUCCACAAACAGACCACAUGGACGAAUAUAUAUUCCUAAAGAAUUAUGCAAAUCUUCUAGUGCUACUUUCUCUUUUUCUCGACUAUGCAUGAUUGCUUCAUUCCGUAGAGAUGUUCCGUACAAAAUACUUUUCACAAGCGAGUCACAUUUCGUUGUUUUGUGGUGUUUACAAACUGACCCAAAAUGUGAAGCAGUGAGUAGUUUUCUUCGUUCUUGCAACCACACUCCACUCCCACUUUGAAGUACUGUAAUUUUUUCUAAGUUUUUUUUCUUUGUUCAUCACUUCUUCUCAGUGAAUCAAGAAAGAAAGAGCGUUCUUUCUCAAACUCUUGAUCAUCCAUGUCUGGUCGUUGUGCAUUUGGUCCAUAAAAACUAUCUUUGUCACAAAAACCCGAAAACAACUUCUUCGAGCAUUUCUUGGACUGCUUUGGAUAGUUCUUCUGCACGUUUCUUCAAUGUCUCUUCAAAUCUUUCCUUCGUUUCCUUUUAAGUUGGACGUUUUUACAGAAAAAUCAGGACUUCUGCCAUACAUUUGCUUGUGUAUCGUGUAGUGAGCUGUUCCUGUGUUAUGCUGUACUACUGCUCCAGCACAUCUUGUUUGGUAACUAUUUCCUGUACAAAAGUUGAUUCUUUUCCCUCCAGUGUAUUUGGAAAUGGAAGAAUUGUACUGUUCAGCAGCAUUGUUGUCCAUACAGUAUAGAAAACUACGAGUAUUCCUGGCAAUGUGUUUUGCUGCCAACAUAACUUUUUCAAACAGUCCAGGGCUUAUCAAAUCAUUGAUAAUGGAGCUUUCUUCUGUUUUUGCAGCAUCACAGAAAUACCCCCGUUCUGCACAGUUACUAUUGCUCCCAAAUACAUAAUUUGGCCCAUUCAAUAUAUCCUUUCUUAGCUCGGAAAUGCUUAGCUCAAUAUCAUCUGUCAUGGUCUUAUUCCUGUAUUCUGCAGCCUUCUUCACUGCCAUUCGAAGUCGCAAAAUAGAAUUUCCAAUUUUCUUCCUAAGACAAAUAGGAUAACGGCCUCCAUCACUUGUUGCUGCAAUGGCUCUUAAUUUUUUACAAUAAUUCCUUAAAAGUGGUUCGAGCACUCAAUUUUUUCUACAGUCAAUGAUUUGUUUGGUCUUGCAUCUAGAAUAUUUUUAUAUACACUGCUGUCUCCAUCAGCAACAAUUUUAGCGUAUCUCACCGAAUACAUUGCCUCACUUGCAAGAAAACCUUCAAGAAUGAUAGCCGAUUCCAUGCUUGUUGAUGUUUGGUGAACACCCCAGUUCUUACUACAAGCAUGAUCGGCAGCAGUUGCACCUUUCUUCUCUGCACGAUCGCAAAUCGUGCAGUAGGCCUACUUGUUUUUCACCCCAAUGAAGAGCACCUUCUUCGUGUAGUAUCCAACAAUAGCACCCUACAAAAAAAGUUAUACUUAGUUGUCGAUCAAUAUAACAAGAACAAACGACAAAAAAAUAUAUAUAUAAAGAAAAAGUUUGUACGUUGCAAAUUAACAUUUCAAUAGUAUUUGUACAGAAAACAGUUAAAUAAAAAAUAAAA
Molecule: long non-coding RNA, 17726 nt
Organism: Bacillus rossius redtenbacheri
Lineage: Eukaryota; Metazoa; Arthropoda; Insecta; Phasmatodea; Bacillidae
Exons: 2
Source: RefSeq, a predicted model, not a curated record